UACGUAGGUGGCGAGCGUUGUCCGGAUUUACUGGGCGUAAAGGGAGCGUAGGCGGACUUUUAAGUGAGAUGUGAAAUACCCGGGCUCAACUUGGGUGCUGCAUUUCAAACUGGAAGUCUAGAGUGCAGGAGAGGAGAAUGGAAUUCCUAGUGUAGCGGUGAAAUGCGUAGAGAUUAGGAAGAACACCAGUGGCGAAGGCGAUUCUCUGGACUGUAACUGACGCUGAGGCUCGAAAGCGUGUGGAGCAAACAGGAUUAGAUA
This 261-nucleotide ribosomal RNA is filed under the name uncultured prokaryote. RNAcentral's name for it is "partial 16S ribosomal RNA". It matches the Rfam family "Bacterial small subunit ribosomal RNA", at positions 524 to 784 of the family's 1533-position model. The record is from RNAcentral.